This is a long non-coding RNA of Spea bombifrons (plains spadefoot toad), 354 nucleotides long. RefSeq lists it as uncharacterized. The record is from RefSeq and is a predicted model, not a curated record. Lineage: Eukaryota; Metazoa; Chordata; Amphibia; Anura; Pelobatidae. The transcript is spliced from 3 exons.
UGAGUACCCGCGAUCUGAAAGCCCGAUGGCACUUUAUACAUCUAUAAAAAUAUUUUAUAAAUUAUCAUUUCUCAAAUCGAAGGCGCCAAUGUAUAUAAAAAUGGUUUGGAUCCUUGGGGCUGUUGGCAGUGUUGGAGAUACUUCAUGAGUUGGGUUUCCUCUCCACUUGGGGGAAAAAGGGAGAAAGAAAACCCAAAAGAUGACGUUGAGCUUCCUGCUACAGAGACAGCAGCUGGCAGGACAUAGAUGCUGGAGAACCGAGCCGUGGACGUGGAUACCUUUUAAAACGAGCAAUUAUUUAGCAAACAAUUAUGGAAAUCAAACUCACUCAAUAAAAAAUAGCACGUAUCCAAC